AUCGAAGAUGUCAGCUUGCUGGCAAGCACCCACACGAAUUGCUUGAUUCACUGAUAGAAGAGCAAUUGAGUUAGUUAGACUCAAGGUAAGACGAUUGGGUCUGUAGCUCAGUUGGUUAGAGCGCACCCCUGAUAAGGGUGAGGUCGGCAGUUCGAAUCUGCCCAGACCCACCAAUCGAUGGGGCCAUAGCUCAGCUGGGAGAGCGCCUGCCUUGCACGCAGGAGGUCAGGAGUUCGAUCCUCCUUGGCUCCACCAUCUCCACCUAACCGCUAACACGAUUGCUUGAAAAGCUCAGACAUGAGCGUUUGAUGCACCAUCCGGUGUAGCCCAAACUCUGAUGUCUGGUCUUUGAUCAGAACUGUUCUUUAAAAAAUUGGGAAAGUGAUAGAAGUAGACUGCAUUAACUGUUUUCACUGGCAGUUAGUGUCGUCAAGGUAAAAUCUUGCGAACUCAAGCGCAAGUUUUCGGCGAAAUGUCGUCUUCACUCAUUUAACGCCCUGCAGAUCGGUAGCGUCCUUGGACGCCGGCGAGAUUGCUUGGGGUUAUAU
Molecule: transfer RNA, 548 nt
Filed under: cotton phyllosphere bacterium G
Lineage: Bacteria
Description: 16S-23S ribosomal RNA intergenic spacer
Rfam family: tRNA (bases 97-170)
Source: RNAcentral